Drosophila virilis is the source of this 106-nucleotide non-coding RNA. The record is from RefSeq and is a predicted model, not a curated record. Lineage: Eukaryota; Metazoa; Arthropoda; Insecta; Diptera; Drosophilidae.
ACGGCCAGAAAUUAUUGCCAGUCAACAAAGGAAAGGAAAACAAGGGGAGAAAUAUAAACACAGACGCAAUAAUCUUUGGGCCCUUUCCUUUCCGGUUCGCACUUUA